GUGGGGAAUUUUGGACAAUGGGCGCAAGCCUGAUCCAGCAAUGCCGCGUGCAGGAAGAAGGCCUUCGGGUUGUAAACUGCUUUUGUACGGAACGAAACGGUCCUGGUUAAUACCUGGGGCUAAUGACGGUACCGUAAGAAUAAGCACCGGCUAACUACGUGCCAGCAGCCGCGGUAAUACGUAGGGUGCGAGCGUUAAUCGGAAUUACUGGGCGUAAAGCGUGCGCAGGCGGUGCUGUAAGACAGGCGUGAAAUCCCCGGGCUCAACCUGGGAAUUGCGCUUGUGACUGCAGUGCUGGAGUACGGCAGAGGGGGAUGGAAUUCCGCGGGUAGCAGUGAAAUGCGUAGAUAUGCGGAGGAACACCGAUGGCGAAGGCAGUCCCCUGGGCCUGUACUGACGCUCAUGCACGAAAGCGUGGGGAGCAAACAGGAUUAGAUACCCGUGUAGUCC
Molecule: ribosomal RNA, 450 nt
Filed under: uncultured bacterium
Lineage: Bacteria
Description: partial 16S ribosomal RNA
Rfam family: Bacterial small subunit ribosomal RNA
Source: RNAcentral